GAUUAUGGCUCAGAACGAACGCUGGCGGCAGGUCUUAGGCAUGCAAGUCGAACGGAUGACAAGAGAGCUUGCUCUCUUGAAGUCAGUGGCGCACGAGUGAGUAACGCGUGGGAAACUGCCCUUCACUGGGGAAUAACGUUUGGAAACGAACGCUAAUACCGCAUACGCCCGCAAGGGGAAAGAUUUAUCGGUGAUGGAUGUGCCCGCGUUGGAUUAGCUAGUUGGUGGGGUAAUGGCCUACCAAGGCGAUGAUCCAUAGCUGGUCUGAGAGGACGAUCAGCCACGCUGGAACUGAGACACGGUCCAGACUCCUACGGGAGGCAGCAGCUAAGAAUAUUGGGCAAUGGAGGAAACUCUGACCCAGCCAAUGCCGCGUGAAUGAAGAAGGCCUUCGGGUUGUAAAGUUCUUUUAGUCAUGAAGAUGAUGACAGUAGUGACAGAAAAAGCACCGGCUAACUUCGUGCCAGCCGCUGC
RNAcentral lists this ribosomal RNA (474 nucleotides) under uncultured bacterium. Its description in RNAcentral is "bacterial SSU rRNA". It matches the Rfam family "Bacterial small subunit ribosomal RNA", at positions 15 to 518 of the family's 1533-position model. The record is from RNAcentral.